AGAAGUCUGCUCCGAAUUUCAGCGCUUGUCUGGCAACCACGAGAUACUGGUUCAUUUUUAAGGUUUUAAACUGAGAGGAAUCACUGAGGAAAGCGCACCACAGUAUUUUCAAAAAUACUUGCGUCCUUAAGAAGUAACUAGUCAAGAAAAAGUUUUCUUUCUGGACACGGAUGAGCAAAACUAAGAAGCAAACACAGACACUUCCCUGCCACAAUUGUGGUCUAAAGCAAGGAAGCACAUGAGUUCCAUGAAGGAUCCUGACUCUCACAAGGUAUCUUUUCCUGUAAAAGAAUUUCACACAAUUUCUCACCAUUGUCUAUAAAGGUGUCCAUUUGGGGGCUGUGGUUGGAAGCACAUGACCUGUUAGAUGAGGACAGCAGCCCUCAGCUCAGCACUCCGGUCCUAAGGUGAUAUGUCUUACCCCAGCUAGGG
Tupaia belangeri chinensis (Chinese tree shrew) is the source of this 432-nucleotide long non-coding RNA. RefSeq lists it as uncharacterized. Lineage: Eukaryota; Metazoa; Chordata; Mammalia; Scandentia; Tupaiidae. The record is from RefSeq and is a predicted model, not a curated record. The transcript is spliced from 3 exons.